GUGCUCGCUUCGGCAGCACAUAUACUAAAAUUGGAACGAUACAGAGAAGAUUAGCAUGGCCCCUGCACAAGGAUGACACACAGGCGGUGAAGCAGGUCUGCAGGUGUCU
Molecule: non-coding RNA, 109 nt
Organism: Erinaceus europaeus (western European hedgehog)
Lineage: Eukaryota; Metazoa; Chordata; Mammalia; Eulipotyphla; Erinaceidae
Source: Rfam